UUGAUUUGAGAUCCGGGUAUUAUCAAUUGAAGAUUAAAGAAGACGAUGUACCUAAGACGGCUUUCCGAACUCGGUACGGACAUUAUGAAUUUUCGGUUAUGCCGUUUGGGUUGACUAAUGCACCUGCAGCUUUUAUGAGAUUAAUGAAUGAGGUAUUCCAGAAAUAUCUUGAUAAAUUCGUUAUUGUUUUUAUUGACGAUCUUUUGGUAUACUCUAAGUCCCAAGCAGAUCAUAUCCGACACCUUAAUUUGGUGUUAAGGAAAUUAAGGGAGCAUCAGUUGUAUGCCAAGUUCAGUAAAUGUCAGUUUUGGUUGACUGAAGUGGCAUUUUUUGGGGCAUGUUGUAUCAGCUCAAGGUAUUCAAGUUGACUCUCAAAAGAUUGCCAGCAGUGAGAAUUGGAGCAACCUCGAACCGUCACGGAGGUACGAAGCUUUCUUGGCUUAGCAGUUAUUAUCGACGGUUCGUUCAGGAUUUCUCUAUGAUUGCUUACCGUUGACAAAGUUGACCAGGAAGGAUGUUAAUUUGAGUGGAUGAGAAUUGUGAGAGGAGUUUUCAGCAAUUUGAAGUAUUGCCUCACUCAUGCACCGGUGUUGGUACUUCCGACGAUAGCGGUAAUUUUGAGAUUAUAGUGCUUCAUUUAAAUGGUUUGGGAUGUGUUUUGAUGCAGAUAAUAAGGUGAUUGCCUAUGCUUCUAGGCAGUGAAAAAUCAUGAAAGGAAUUAUCCUACUCACGAUCUUGAAUUGGCAGCAUUGUUUUGCUUGAAAAUUUGGAGACAUUAUUUGUAUGGUGAGAAGUGUAAGAUCUUCACUGAUCAUAAGAGUCUUCAGUACUUAUUCACCCAGCAUGAUCUUAAUCUUCGUCAGCGAAGGUGGAUGGAAUUGCUAAGUGAUUAUGAUUGUUCUAUUGAAUACCAUCCAGGUCGUGCUAAUGUAGUAGCGGAUGCACUGAGUAGGAAACCAAGUGACUAAUGCCCUAUAUGCUUGCCGUGUUCCUCUUCUGCUGAAUGAGGCAACGGGAGUAAGGUUGGAGAUUGAAGACCUAGUGGAGCCUUUCUUGCUAGCUUUCAAGUCAGGCAGUUUUGGUGGACCGUAUACUUGCAGCUCAAAUGGUGGAUGAAAAAUUCAGGAGUUGGUUCAGUUAAGAAGUGAAGGGAAAAGAAAGACCUCAGAAUUCGGGAAUCAGAUGGUAUGCUCAUGCAAGAAAACAGAAUGUAUGUUCCGAAUAAUGGGGAAUUGAAGAAGGAAAUUCUGGACGAAGCACAUUGUUCAGCUUAUGCGAUGCAUCCGGAGGAACAAAAUGUAUCAUACCAUCGACCAUUUAUUAUGGCGGGAUGAAGAGAAAUUGCAGAAUAUGUGAGCAGGUGUAUUAUUUGCCAGCAAGUGAAAGCAGAAAGGAAGAAGCCCUUUGGGCGAAUGCAACCACUCCGUCCCCAGUGGAAAUGGGAAAAUAUAACCAUGGAUUUCGUGUAUAAACUUCCUCGUACGCGAAAUGAUUUGAUGGUAUUUGGGUGAUUGUGAUCGACUCACCAAGUUGCGCAUUUCAUUCCAGUGAGGGAGAAAAUACCCUCUGAAUAAAUGGCUAAGUUGUUUAUUUCGAAGAUUGUCAAGUAUCAUGGAGUCCCAGUAAAUAUUAUCUCCGAUCGAGACCCGAGGUACUUCUAAAUUUUGGGUGGCUUUUCAGGAAGCUCUGGGUACUCAAUUACUGUAUAGCACAGCUUAUCAUCCUCAAACUGAUGGGCAUCAGAGAGGACCAUUCAGACGUUGGAAGAUAUGUUGAGAUCUUCGGUAUUACAAUUGGUGAUUCUUGGGCAUGAUCGUCUAGACUAAUGGAGUUUGCUUAUAUAACAGUUUUCAUCGAUUGGUAUGUCCCCAUUCGAGGCACUUUAUGGUAGCGGGCGAACCAGUGUUGGUCGAGGUUGGUGAACGGUAUAGGAAGGCCCUGAGAUCGUGGAUGAGACGACUCAAAAUGUCAGGUAAUUAAGUCAAACUGAAAGCAGCCAGGAUCGACAUAAGAGUUUAGCGGAUCGGCAUACUACUGACGAGUGUAUGGGGUGAUGGGUAUUCUUGAAGGCCCUGGAGAGGUGUGGUGAUUUGGAAAAGAGGAAGCUAAGUCCGAGAUAUAUUGGACUUAUGUAAUCACUGAAAGAUUGGUGAAGUUGCCUACCGGUUNUAUUGUGGAUUUUGAUGUGAUUUUAGGGGCCAAUUGGUUACACCAUAAUCGUGCCCAUAUUGAUUGUUAUGGUAAAUCAGUUACUUUUUAUCGUCCUGGAUUACCCGAGGUUAUUUUUUGUGGGCGAGAGAAGUGGGGUGAGACAUGGAGUUAUUUCUGCCAUAAGGGCGAGGAAAUUAUUAUCGAAGGGUUGUCAGGGAUAUUUGGCACAUGUGGUAUUAAAUGAUGUUGCUCCUACUAGUAUAGAAGAAGUUGGUGUGGGUCAGACAUUAUCCGGAUGUUUUCCCUGAUGAUUUGCCGGGAUUGCCGCCAGACAGAGAGGUGGAAUUCUCUAUUGAUUUGCUUCCAGGUACGGACCCUAUAUCUCUGACUCCUUAUAGAAUGGCUCCUGCUGAGUUAAGGGAAUUAAAAAUCCAGUUGCAAGAAUUACUUGAUAAAGGUUUUAUUCAACCUAGUUCUUCACCUUGGGGUGCCCCAGUAUUAUUUGUGAAGAAGAAGGAUGGAACUCUUCGAUUGUGUAUUGAUUAUAGACAAUUGAACCGGGUAACGAUUAAAAACCGUUAUCCAUUGCCCCGCAUUGAUGAUUUGUUUGAUCAGCUGAAAGGUGCGUGUGUAUUUUCUAAGAUUGAUUUGAGAUCCGGGUAUUAUCAAUUGAAGAUUAAAGAAGACGAUGUACCUAAGACGGCUUUCCGAACUCGGUACGGACAUUAUGAAUUUUCGGUUAUGCCGUUUGGGUUGACUAAUGCACCUGCAGCUUUUAUGAGAUUAAUGAAUGAGGUAUUCCAGAAAUAUCUUGAUAAAUUCGUUAUUGUUUUUAUUGACGAUAUUCUGGUAUACUCUAAGUCCCAAGCAGAUCAUAUCCGACACCUUAAUUUGGUGUUAAGGAAAUUAAG
This 3062-nucleotide long non-coding RNA is filed under the name Malus domestica (apple). RNAcentral's name for it is "long non-coding RNA (MDOM_LNC020845)". Lineage: Eukaryota; Viridiplantae; Streptophyta; Magnoliopsida; Rosales; Rosaceae. The record is from RNAcentral.